CGAGCUUCCAAGAAUCAUUUCUUAGUCACAGGAUGACACAGGGAGGCCGGCUAUUGGUGAUCUUUUCUACGGGUUCUCCAUUGCUGGCCCUUCGGAUGGCUUCCAUGAGCUAGCGGACAGAGAUGCGAGAGUGUCAUGCAUAGGAGAGGAGGGUGUGUCUCGUCUCAGCCACCCUCCAGAUGUGCAUUAAAUACUCACGUCUUUCUCAUAAGGAAAACCCCCAUUCUCCAGCUUGGAGAAUACCAGCUGUCCAUUGAUCUCAAUCUCGAAGGCCCCUGGUAGGAAAUAAAUGCAAGAAUGAGCUAAGAACAACAGGCAGAGGUCCUUGGCACUACCGCGAGUCCAAGCAAGACUGUUCAUGGUCUCGGGAGACACCAUUUGAGAUCCGGUUUUCAGAUCCGAUCCUUAAAGCCAUUCAGCCCCAAACCCCAAAGUCCUCACCCGUGCGUCUUUCCAAUACGCCAUUAAGAGUUCCUUCACUCCAAACCCACAGUAGGCAUUUUCGCUAUGUGUCAGACCCUGCUAGGGGCUUUAGAUACAACAGCCAAUGUCAGCUCUAGAAGGUCGGAGAGCUGGAGUUUAUAACAUGGACUGACUCAGCAGGUGCUCUGCGGACCUCACCUGUCCCCCCGAGUCGCGACUCAAUCUCGAUGCCCGGAUACUCCUCCUUCACAGCGCUCGCCAGCUCCAGGGCUGCUUCCGGGUGUGACGCCACGCCAAAGUCACGUGGGGGGCGUGGCCGCGGGCGUGGCCGGACCUCGCAUUGCGUCU
RNAcentral lists this long non-coding RNA (771 nucleotides) under Mus pahari (shrew mouse). Its description in RNAcentral is "predicted gene 12352 (MGP_PahariEiJ_G0002612.1)". Lineage: Eukaryota; Metazoa; Chordata; Mammalia; Rodentia; Muridae. The record is from RNAcentral.